GCAAAAGAGGGUAAAUCGGCCACUUUAAGAUUACCAUCUCAGGAGGUCCGUUUAGUAUCCCAGAACUGCUUAGCAACAGUCGGACAAGUGGGUAAUGUUGGGGUGAACCAAAAAGUUUGGGGUAGUUUUUCAUUUUUCUUUAUAGUUUAA
Molecule: ribosomal RNA, 150 nt
Filed under: Triticum aestivum (bread wheat)
Lineage: Eukaryota; Viridiplantae; Streptophyta; Magnoliopsida; Poales; Poaceae
Description: partial small subunit ribosomal RNA
Source: RNAcentral